This 497-nucleotide ribosomal RNA is filed under the name uncultured bacterium. RNAcentral describes it as "partial 16S ribosomal RNA". It matches the Rfam family "Bacterial small subunit ribosomal RNA", at positions 28 to 507 of the family's 1533-position model. The record is from RNAcentral.
GACGAACGCUGGCGGCGUGCCUAAUACAUGCAAGUAGAACGCUGAAGAGAGGAGCUUGCUCUUCUUGGAUGAGUUGCGAACGGGUGAGUAACGCGUAGGUAACCUGCCUUGUAGCGGGGGAUAACUAUUGGAAACGAUAGCUAAUACCGCAUAACAAUGGAUGACACAUGUCAUUUAUUUGAAAGGGGCAAUUGCUGCACUACAAGAUGGACCUGCGUUGUAUUAGCUAGUAGGUGAGGUAAUGGCUCACCUAGGCGACGAUACAUAGCCGACCUGAGAGGGUGAUCGGCCACACUGGGACUGAGACACGGCCCAGACUCCUACGGGAGGCAGCAGUAGGGAAUCUUCGGCAAUGGGGGCAACCCUGACCGAGCAACGCCGCGUGAGUGAAGAAGGUUUUCGGAUCGUAAAGCUCUGUUGUAAGUCAAGAACGGGUGUGAGAGUGGAAAGUUCACACUGUGACGGUAGCUUACCAGAAAGGGACGGCUAACUACGUG